UAUUCUUUUAAGAACUCUGUUCAGUGGGCUGGAGAGAUGGCUCGGAGGUUAAGAGCACUGGCUGUUCUUCCUGAGGUCCUGAGUUCAAUUCCCAGCAACCACAUGGCGG
RNAcentral lists this microRNA precursor (109 nucleotides) under Mesocricetus auratus (golden hamster). RNAcentral describes it as "miRNA (ENSMAUG00000002967.1)". The record is from RNAcentral. Lineage: Eukaryota; Metazoa; Chordata; Mammalia; Rodentia; Cricetidae.